Molecule: long non-coding RNA, 694 nt
Organism: Homo sapiens (human)
Lineage: Eukaryota; Metazoa; Chordata; Mammalia; Primates; Hominidae
Product: long independently transcribed non-coding RNA 1939
Exons: 4
Source: RefSeq, marked validated
GCGUCACCCCCACCAGCAGGUGCAGAGGUGCCGUUGCAGCAGUUGGAUGUGAGGCCAAGAAGCAGAAGCUAAGGGAGGGGGUCUGGGGCAUCCCUGGAGCUCAGAAGCCAAGGCCCGUGCCUGCCCCAGGGCUGGUGCCAUACAUAGUUCCAGGUACUGGGGACGGAGGGUAGCCGAUGGGGCCCUGAGCAGGACGUGCCUCUUCUGGACUUGACCACAGAACCCAAGCAUGGUUCAAGCGAUUCUCCUGCUUCAGCCUCCUGAGUAGUUGGGAUUACAGAUGCCCGCCACCGCACCCAGUCACAGAUGGACUCUGAGAGAGAAAAUAGCACCCCUGUCCAAACAUCACAUGCCUGGCGGAGGAACGCAGCCUGGCCUGUGCAGCCGAAUGUUGGAGAGUGCACCUUCCUCUCUUAUUUUGUUUUAUUUCCAGGGAAAGGGAAAGGAAGACAUGCAGUCUCAUUGAAGUCCUUGGGUCACUUUACCCCUGCCCUUGGGUUGAUGGACGAUCAGAUGUCUUCCUUCUCAUGCUGGCUGAGACAUCAAACACCAGAGUGGACUUACUUGGCUCCAGUGCUGGUGAUGGGCACUUCUGGGUGAAUGGAAUCUGGGGUGUACUAGCAAAUUUGCUGGUUCUUAGUGCAGGAUCAUUUGAAAAUUUAUUAUUCUGCCAAAUUGAUCAAAUCACUUUGAA